This 377-nucleotide ribosomal RNA is filed under the name uncultured bacterium. RNAcentral describes it as "bacterial SSU rRNA". It matches the Rfam family "Bacterial small subunit ribosomal RNA", at positions 417 to 806 of the family's 1533-position model. The record is from RNAcentral.
UUCGGGUUGUAAACCUCUUUUAGCAAGGAAGAAGCGAAAGUGACGGUACCUACAGAAGAAGCGCCGGCUAACUACGUGCCAGCAGCCGCGGUAAUACGUAGGGCGCAAGCGUUGUCCGGAAUUAUUGGGCGUAAAGAGCUCGUAGGCGGUUUGUCGCGUCUGCUGUGAAAGUCCGAGGCUCAACCUCGGAUCUGCAGUGGGUACGGGCAAACUAGAGUGUGGUAGGGGAGACUGGAAUUCCUGGUGUAGCGGUGGAAUGCGCAGAUAUCAGGAGGAACACCAAUGGCGAAGGCAGGUCUCUGGGCCACAACUGACGCUGAGGAGCGAAAGCAUGGGGAGCGAACAGGAUUAGAUACCCUGGUAGUCCAAGGGCGAAU